CAACAAACCAAACAUCAUCAUCCACUGUACACUACAUUGACUACAAUCAGUACAAUGCGUCGGUGCGAGGUUUAUCAAAGAAAAGAAUGCAACAGGCCUAACCAGUAACCACUACCAGGCUUAUUCAUCAACAGCAAAGAUGCUAUGCUAUGCAGUGUUCUACUGUAGCUACACCAAGUUGACAAAGAAACAGUUGGGAAUUAAGAUGAACUGGUGGGAUCAUUGCAGAGCUGCAGAGGUGGCAAUCCAUUUCAGAGGCAGUGAUCCCUUGUGGCCUGGGAGCUGGGACUGCUACAUCCAAAACAAAUACUAAGGAUACCAAACAAGAAACUGCAUCAUCUAAUGCUAAUCAUCAUCAUCGAGAGGAUAGCUGCUAUGAGUUUGACAAAAGGCUGAGUGUCAGCUAGACUCACAAGUCUGCUGCUCAGUCCUGGAAACUACAACUGAUCCAGAUUUGCAGUUGUCAAAGUUUCAGCAGUCAGAGCCUCUAUGGAAUCAAGAAGUGUGAGAGAUGAAGAAAAUCUCUGUGAAGGAAGAACCAUUUCUUACAUGAUGAGGGUUGUGGCAGGAUUGAUCAAGUAAGCCUGUCAGCUCUGGAUUUGGGGGCCAGCAAGCUUCAUCUCCCACAUCCACCAUCAUGUGCACAAUGAAAGCUCCAACUGAGGCUCGUGAUGCACAUGGCUGGCUUGGCUCACUAACCCUCUCCACUGCCCUUGGCAUUGCCUAAGAAGGCUAAGAUGCUGGAGACGCUCUUGACAGCAGCGGCGCGUCUGGAGCGUCCAGUUCCGACCAACUCACCGAGACGCUUGUCUUUUCCCGGCAUUGAUUUUGUGGAACUUACAACCGCGACUAAAUCGUUGUGUUCUUUAGAAGCCUUUGUCGGAAACAAGGCAUUGUUGCUCGGUUCAUGAUUAUUCUUUUGUCAAUGAAAAAUCUCUGAAGAGGCAUGGUCUUCUAAUGCACUUUUUACCUUUAGUCACUUGUCUGUUAUUGGUGUAAAUUUGCUUGCAGUGCAUAGCGAAGCCUUGUUCAACAAGUUUUAACCGUAUAAAUUAAAAUCAUUGCUUCUGAAAGUAUAGAUAUGUAUUGCUGCAAUUCGGGUCAUGCCCACAAAAAGUUAAUUAAUCCCUGUGAAAUUAACGUAUAUGGCCAAUUAGUCUCAGUGCGGCCGGAGAGGAGGAAUUUCUGUGCAUCGCUUUUGCGACGAAAAAUAAUUCCAGAGAACAAACUGUCUGUCGCGAUGGUGCCAGAAACUUCAGUGUUGUAAAGUGUACUGUCUAAUCAAUAAUCAGUCUUAAAUAAAUUCGAUUCUCAAAUAAAACUUAGGAAUUUUACCCCGCUUAUUAUUAAAUUCAUAAACAAUGAUAGAAGACACUGGGAUUUUAGGCCAAUAUUAAUAGAAAAUACUGAGAUUUUAGGGCAAUAAUAAUAGGAGAUGAUUUGAUUUUACAGCAAUAAUAAUGGAAGUCCGAGAUUUUAGGGCAAUAAUUUAACCAAGAAAAUAUAGAAGUUUAAAUCCUGUUGCGAGCUGAAGACAUUUCAUAUUAUAUCCUGUAGAACAACGGGAUUCGAGAAUUCCUGGAGAAAUAUUUCAGUAUCAUGAAUCACGGUUACAAUAUAAAUAGAAACAUGACAAGUUAGCCUUUGAUUUUUGCUCAUAGUGCUGAAGCUACUCGCGGCCGUGUCUAUUUUGGGUUAUUUUGGUAGCUUGAAGACAGCUGUGACGUGAUUCUUAUUUACUAUUGUCAGCUUUUUUUACUAUAUAAUACCUUCAUACUCUAUAUAUUGUUCACAUCGGGAAAUUUAAGUUUUGUGCAUCCUAUUGAAAACAAGGCAAUGUGUAAUGCAGUUUCAAGCUCUGAAAAUAAGUGUAAAUUUUUGUUCUUGGAAUUUCUAUUACUAUUAGUACAUAAUUAGUGAUAUUAAUUCAUUUGUAAAUUUCGAAGAUCUGGCCAGGCUGGCCUGAGUAGCUAGUGUUGCUACUAUGUGCAGAGUUGUUAUUUUCACAGUACAGGUACUUCGUACACCCAUAAUUAUAAUGAAGAGAUGUUUCCUUAUAAGCACUACUCAUUAAUGCGGCACUAACGUAAAGUGUGGACACUGCAUUACUUCUCAUGGUCACAUUUCGUUUCAUAUUUUCUUUCUACAUUUUUAUAAAAACGACUGUUGCUUUGAAACUAUCCCAAAAUAGUUUAUGAAUUAUUUCUGUCUUCAAAAUGCGUAUGGACUGGCCACGUAUACUGCACAUUCGUCACCAUUUUGAGAUACAAACAUUUUGAUUAUUCAUUACCACUGUUUAUAGUUGAUUUUUUCACAGUUCUUGUGCCUUUUCUUUCUUCAUUCUGUCUUCCUGGAACAAUUAGAGAUAAUUUUUAAAUUUAAAAUCUCUGUUUCGAAAUUCAAAUCGAGAUGGAUAAUCCUUCUGCAGUUAAUUUAUAUAAUGCACAAAAAUACAAUGAACAGAGUUAACGUAAGUAGAAAAAGCUAAUAAUUUGAGCACAUAAGGCCCAUAAUUUUGGAUGCCAUGCAUUGUUUCAACGUCAAUUAAUAAAGUUUUCGAUGCC
Hyalella azteca is the source of this 2564-nucleotide long non-coding RNA. RefSeq lists it as uncharacterized. The transcript has 5 exons. The record is from RefSeq and is a predicted model, not a curated record. NCBI's taxonomy places the organism in Eukaryota, Metazoa, Arthropoda, Malacostraca, Amphipoda, Hyalellidae.